UUAAAUCGUGCCAGCCGUCGCGGUUAGACGAAGAAUCCAUAUAGAAUGAAUGUUUACAUUAGUUAACGUUCAAUUUUUGAAGUUUCUCUAGCUUUUUUGUUGGGUGAAAUCAGUAUAAGAAGCUCUUUCUUCUUUAAAAAUUAGUAGGAACUAAAAAACUUUGAUUUAAAACCAGGAUUAGAUACCCUGUUAUUCUCAGUUAUUCUUAAACAGGGUAGUAAAAGUUGUUCUUCAAACCCAAAGAUUUUGGCGGCACUUUAUCCAAAUAGAGGAGCUUGUCCCUUAAUCGAUAGUCCUCGUUUUAUCUUUCCUUCAUUUGUAAAGCUUGUAUACCGCCGUUGUCAGAUUACUUUUAGAGAAUGUUUUCAAGUUAAAAUACUUUAUAACUUCAGGUCAAGGUGCAGUUUAUAUGGGGGUGGAGGUGAGCUACAGUUUUCUUUAGAAAAUACGGAUUCUAAGCUUUAAAGCUAGCUGAAGGUGGAUUUACUAGUAAAGUAAUUUAAGUAAAAUUACUUGAAUAAGGCAAUAAAGUGUGUACAUAUCGCCCGUCACUCUCUCCUUAAGGAGAGAUAAGUCGUAACAAAGUAGAUGUACUGGAAAGUGCAUAA
Molecule: ribosomal RNA, 608 nt
Filed under: Daphnia galeata
Lineage: Eukaryota; Metazoa; Arthropoda; Branchiopoda; Diplostraca; Daphniidae
Description: partial 12S ribosomal RNA
Rfam family: Microsporidia small subunit ribosomal RNA (bases 213-608)
Source: RNAcentral